Molecule: long non-coding RNA, 1027 nt
Organism: Myotis brandtii (Brandt's bat)
Lineage: Eukaryota; Metazoa; Chordata; Mammalia; Chiroptera; Vespertilionidae
Exons: 2
Source: RefSeq, a predicted model, not a curated record
AUGCACGGCGUGGGCCUCGCAGCGCAGGCCUGCACUGGGGCCUGCGUGACUGUCGGACGCGGGUCUCCCGGCCCAAGACCCUCUGCAGGCGUGACUGUCAUGUUCCCGUGAGGAAACCCAGGUCCAGGAGGCCCAGCGGCUCGUCCAAGUGCGUGGAGGCUGGGAAGCCCUGUGCUCAGCCCUCGGCUCCCUCCCACCGCCGGGCCCUGGCCGCCCGGAGCCGCACCCCAGGAGAGGUCUCCAUGAGGCCAAGAGGACUGGGGCGUGAGUGACCGCCCAAGGUCACCAGCUGGGCCCACACUCCUGACUGUCCCCAGUCCCAGCAGGCCGCCGGGCCGAUGCUACCAAGACUACGGAGGCCUCCGAGAGGCAAAAGUCCACCGAUGGCUCCGCCUCUGGAGCCCUGCCGGCCUGCUGUCAGCCCCACCGCCACCCGCUGUCCAGCUCCCAAGACCAGCCACCCUCACCCUGAGGCCCAGCCAGCAGGCUGCACCCCCUCCAGGCCCUCGGCUCCCUGGUGCUCGAGGGUGGGCAGAGGCUGAGGCGGGUCUGGCCCAGGGCUGCUACGUGGAGAGGGGCCCACAGAUCUAGAGUGGCGGCUGGUCACUGGCUGGGUCGUGUGCCGGCGGGGUCAGGAUCAGCCGGGCCUGCAGCCCACUCUGCUGUUGAGGGACUUGGCCCGGGGAGUGGUGUGGAGCGCUCCCCGACCCCCACCCCCCGAGGCUCCAGGGUCCCAGCGGGUCAACUCAGGAACUCACUCUGGCUGCUCAGACCGCAGAGGGACCAGUUUCCAGGGGUCCGUGCCCACAGGUCCUGCUUGGCUAACCCAGGAGGUCUUCAGGCCACUCUGCCCCACGGCCACCUGCCCGCCCCCUGGUGGCACCUCAGCACAGCCUGGAGGCAGGAGCAGGCACUGACCCUCUGGCCAGGCUGGUCCCCACCCGUCUUCCUGUCCCCAAGCCCCAACCCGGGUGCCCUGCACCCAAGGACACCCCGUUCCCCGAGUAAUAAAAGCCACAACCUGCAA